AAACACGACGUCACCUUGUCCGGUUCCCAGUGGAGAUGAGAGCUCAGAAAAUUCUGGUAAUGUUGCAGUUUUCCCUUAUUUGAGGUCUGUACAGCAAAACUGGAUAUCACUUAAGGCAAAGAAGAAAAUUAGAGAGUACUGAAAGCGUACAGCCUGGCUAAACCAAACCAAAAUGACUCAGCAGCUACAGAAGGGGUGGAGAGUUAAGAAAUAACUGCAUAUAUUACUGAAUUCAUAUACCUUCUCAACAAAUACUUUUCUAUAGCCCUGGGGACUGUGUGCUCUAAACUCUCGCACAGAGGAGACACUUGGCUCUUGCCCCAUGUCCCUUGGGAUGGACUUUGGAAAGACUGGCUGAACCUGACUGACCAUAAUAGGGAAGAUGAUGCCAACUAAGAAGAUAUUUACACUGCAGUCCAAAGCUUUUAGAAGAGUUUUGCUCGCUCUCACCUCUAAUCUACUUGGGAAAAGAGCUCCUUGUAAGAGAUCAAUUUUUACCCUGAAAAUUGCACAUCUCAGCUGCCUAUUAAGUAUCGAUAGAUCCAGGUGUUCAACAAACAGUUAGGAUCUAAGCUGUACUCUAAAAAAAAUAAAAUAAAAAAAUUACUGGAGUGGA
Aquila chrysaetos chrysaetos is the source of this 616-nucleotide long non-coding RNA. RefSeq lists it as uncharacterized. NCBI's taxonomy places the organism in Eukaryota, Metazoa, Chordata, Aves, Accipitriformes, Accipitridae. The transcript is spliced from 2 exons. The record is from RefSeq and is a predicted model, not a curated record.